CCAAUAGCGUAUAUUAAAGUUGUUGCAGUUAAAAAGCUCGUAGUUGAAUUUCGGAAUCUGUCCGUUGGUCGGGCUUUAUUGUCCGUACUGAUGUGAUGGGUUCUUACCUUCUGAAUAACCAGCAUGUCAUUAAUUUGGUGUGUUGGGGAAGCAGGACUAUUACCUUGAAAAAAUUAGAGUGCUCAAAGCAGGCUAGUGCCUGAAUACAUUAGCAUGGAAUAAUAAAAUAGGACGGCAUGGUUCUAUUUUGUUGGUUUCUAGGAUCACCGUAAUGAUUAAUAGGGAUAGUUGGGGGCAUUAGUAUUCAAUUGUCAGAGGUGAAAUUCUUGGAUUUAUUGAAGACUAACUUCUGCGAAAGCAUUUGCCAAGGAUGUUUUCAUUAAUCAAGAACGAAAGUUAGGGGAUCGAAGACGAUCAGAUACCGUCGUAGUCUUAACCAUAAACUAUGCUGACUAGGGAUCGGACGAUGUUAAUUUUUUAAUGACUCGUUCGGCGCCUUACG
This 502-nucleotide ribosomal RNA is filed under the name uncultured Glomeromycotina. Its description in RNAcentral is "partial small subunit ribosomal RNA". It matches the Rfam family "Eukaryotic small subunit ribosomal RNA", at positions 591 to 1092 of the family's 1831-position model. Lineage: Eukaryota; Fungi; Glomeromycota. The record is from RNAcentral.